CUGGAGACCACUUGGGUUUCCUCACUUGAAAAAGCUCAGAGGAACCUUUACAACUCCUAAUGAAAAGCUGCAGCAAGGAGCUGAAAUUAAGUCAGCAGAGUUCAUGAUUUGUCUUGGACCAGAGCCUAAUUCAGUUUAUAAUGCGAGGUCUAUGGUGGAGUCCCAGCAUCAGUCUUUCUCCCAUGAACCUCAGCUUCUGUAACAGAUUCCCUGCUGUUUCCUUCAAUGACCUCCUGACUGUCUUCAAAUCCCAUUUCAAGAGCGAUCUUUUCUCCCUGGCCUCUGACUCCUCAUCCGGUAUCUGUGGAUCCAACUAUCUAAAAAUAGACCUUAUACAGCCAUCAACCCCUCUUCCCUGAAAAGUUCAGCUGUGGGACAUUCCUACAUGGUGUAAGAGAUCUCAAAUGAGAUCCUUUUGCUGAAGGUUGAAAGUAUUGGGCAAAAUAUAACCUUUGCUAUCAAGUCAUUUUGGCUUUCCUGGAACAGCGUAUUAAGAAUAUGUGCCCAGUUCUACCAAGAAACUGUAGUCAUAAACUAGGUAAAAAAAAAGAGAACAACAACAUCUACAACAGCAAAAUCCUGCCAGUGAUCUAUGAUGAAAUUUAACCUCAUCUCAGCAGAAUGAUCUUGUUGUUCUGAAGAAGGCUUCUCUGGCUUUAUCACACAAAGAUCAGUUAGAAAUAUUAGUUCAAAUCACAGAAUGACUGAAUUACAUAGAAUCUUGGUGGUUCUGGGCUCUGCCUUCAUUUGUCUGAGGUAAAUACAUAGACUUUUGGCUUUUUUUUUUUUAAUUUUACUUUAAAAGGUCUUGCAUGGAGAAAAAAUGUUCAGUGGUCUAUACCAUGAUCAGCAUAGAUCAAAGUGUUCUUGACCCAAAUUACCCCUUCCCAUCAGCCAAAGUAGAGAGUAUCCUUGGGGCUACAAUGGUAUGGCAGCUAGGACUUAGACUUUCUAACUGGAGCUGUAUGCAUAUAUCACAACAUUAAACUGCUUUGGGCCAAAUUCCUUCAUGUAAAUAUGAAGCAUAAUUAUUUUUGUAUUUAAGCUGCCUAGGAGUUGGGCAAUAUGUACAUUCAUAUGGCACCAUAUAGAUCUCUCAGAUGAUCCUGGAGUCAAUACAGAGCUGCAGAAGUUUUGCUGUGCGUUCAAAGCCUGGACAAACAGGAGAAGAAAUGCUCUCUGCAGUAUUCUUGGGCAUCAUCAAAGUUCACAGACAUUCACAGUGAGGAAGAGAUGAAUCAUAAACUCUUACGUGAGAUUCUGAGGGAGGAAAGAGAAACAGUAUCUGCUGUUUAGAGAUUCAAUUAGAUACUCUUUUUGGGAGAGCAGGAUUUCUAGGCCUCUUAUAAAUAGCAGGCCGCAUCUCAGCUUGAUUACUUCAAAACAGCUUCCUGCAACCUCCCACUAGGAAGAUGAGCAAUUAGUAUAAUGACAGCAAUAAGUCAAAGAUACUUAAUGCUGAAACUUGCGUAACAACUUUUUUUUUCCUGGUUCUCUGCUGGGCCAUAGGCAAAGAACAGUUUAAUGCAUGUUCCAAUUGCUGAAAACGCACUGUCCAAAAGAUCUUUGCUCGCUGUCAUUAGUUUGAUGUCAUGCAAUGAUCCAACAAAGUUGCAGGGCACUGUGACUAGGUGGGGGCCUUUCCGUAUGAGGUACAGUCAUGGAGAUAGAAGUGUUGUGAACAAAAUGGAAAGCAAAGAUCCUCACUGUGAGUUGAUCUGCUAGUAAUAAAGGUGCUACCAGAGAAGAUUCUACCUAAUUUUCUGUCAGGAAUAUUCCAAUAACCCAAGGUCAGGAAAUCACAGAAUCACAGAAUAUUAGGGGUUGGAAGAGACCUCCGAGGAUCAUCGAGUCCAACCCCCCUGCCAGAGCAGGACCCAAAAAAACUAGUGCAAAUUAGUCAGAAAGGCAUCCAGACAGGUCUUGAAAGUCUCCAGAGAAAGAGACUCCAUAGAAACACGUUUUUGAAAAGCAUGAAAAAAGGAAUGAACUAGCCCCCUCUUUUGGCUAAUUUGAAAACAGUAGUAGGAACUGGUAUUUGCUAAAUUACAGGUUCUGAAAGUACUCUUUCUUUCACCUAUGAGUCCAUUAUGCUGUCAGGUAUCAUUUAUGCACAUAGCUGCUGGGCCUCCAUUGUAAGUAGGUGUUCUUUUUAGACAUAGAUUUCCCAGUUAAAUCGAGAUUUUGGGUCUUGGUUCCAUGUCUACAGACACUCCCUGCAUCUACUGGUUCUGCAGCUGAUACUAUUUGCUUGAACAGGAACCUCAAAGGUGUGUGCAAGAUCUUCUCAGCACAGAAUUUACAGGAGUAAAUUAAUUGUGGGAAGAAUCUCCUGGGUACUGUUGUGGGUCUGGAAAGACAUUCUGUCACUGCAUGGGAAGACACAGCUUCAUAUAACACUUUUUAAGGGUUGAGGAGAAAUACCUGUUUUUGAAAGCCAUAUUUAACAUUAAGCCCACUAGUUCCUUCUUCUGCAAAAUGGCGUAGAUUGGUGACAAAAUUUAACUGUGACAGAAGCUAUUAAUCCUUCCCUGUGAUUUCUAGAAGAACUUGCAAAUAUUUCUAAGUAAUAGAAACAGUGGGCAGAGCUAGUACUCUGCCUCCCUAGUAGAACUGGUUUGAAAAAACUAGUUAUACCUUGCAGAAAAUUUUUGGGAAAAAAAAGUCUUCUGAUUUACUCGUUAUAAAAUGUUUAAAAAAUAAAAUAUUGAAAUAAAA
Molecule: long non-coding RNA, 2718 nt
Organism: Apus apus (common swift)
Lineage: Eukaryota; Metazoa; Chordata; Aves; Apodiformes; Apodidae
Exons: 4
Source: RefSeq, a predicted model, not a curated record